This 74-nucleotide transfer RNA is filed under the name Escherichia phage vB_Eco_F22. Its description in RNAcentral is "tRNA-Ile". The record is from RNAcentral. Lineage: Duplodnaviria; Heunggongvirae; Uroviricota; Caudoviricetes; Schitoviridae.
UUUAUUUGAGAACUACUUAUUGGACGAUUCAUAUGAUUGACCUAAUCUUAACACCGUAUGCCUAUGAGGUAACG